Non-coding RNA from Oryza nivara, 192 nucleotides. The record is from Rfam. Lineage: Eukaryota; Viridiplantae; Streptophyta; Magnoliopsida; Poales; Poaceae.
AAAAAGAUAAACCCUGGUUUCCGUGCCCAACGUUUGACCGUCCGUCUUAUUUGAAAAAAUUAUGAAAAAAAUUAAAAAGACAAGUCACGCAUAAAAUAUUAAUCAUGUUUUAUCAUCUAACAACAAUGAAAAUACGAAUUAUAAAAAAAUUUCAUAUAAGACGGACACGUAAACCUAGGGUUUGCCUUUUUU